RNAcentral lists this non-coding RNA (29 nucleotides) under Bombyx mori (domestic silkworm). Lineage: Eukaryota; Metazoa; Arthropoda; Insecta; Lepidoptera; Bombycidae. The record is from RNAcentral.
UAACUAAGGCUACCUUGUGUGCACUCUUC